AGUGCAGACAAAGACAAUCCAGGUGUACCAGAGGGCUGAGCAUUGGAUGAAAGUGAGGAAGCAAGGCUGGGUUGUGAAGCGUUACCAUCUGGUCCAGAUGCAGACAAAGACAAUCCAGGUGUACCAGAGGGCUGAGCAUUGGGUGAAAUUAGGGUAGCAGGGCCAGGUUUUGAAAAGGAAUCAGAGGGAG
Non-coding RNA from Notechis scutatus (mainland tiger snake), 190 nucleotides. The record is from RefSeq and is a predicted model, not a curated record. NCBI's taxonomy places the organism in Eukaryota, Metazoa, Chordata, Lepidosauria, Squamata, Elapidae.